Molecule: long non-coding RNA, 2510 nt
Organism: Lepisosteus oculatus (spotted gar)
Lineage: Eukaryota; Metazoa; Chordata; Actinopteri; Semionotiformes; Lepisosteidae
Source: Ensembl
CAAGGCUGCAUAGGAAGGGACUUCAUGUCACGCCAGCGGUAUAUGCAGGAAUUGACGGGAACCAUUGAUCUGGUUUUGUGGAGAAAGUCGGGCCUGGACUUCAGCCCCUGCUCGUUGUGACGUAAAAGCGGACUUGCAGAAAGCAUUACUAGUGGCAAAGCGUUAGGUGAAAGCGUUACUGGUCUUCGUUCUCAUGGCUCUGUGGCUCCGAGGCGGCAUGUGACCCUCAGCUGAGUUGAUGGAUAAGGAUUGGUCCUUUGCUACGGCGGCGUCUACCGGCUUCCUUUCCCCUGCGUCUUCUCGUUUAAUAUUGCAUGCUCAGUAGUUCGUCCUGCCGAGUCAUGGACAGUGGAUCAAGGGGUCUUUCAUCCCUGCUUUGUGGGAAGUGUAGUGCUGACAUGAUUAACUGGGUUUCACGGGCUGUACUCACUGGCUCCCCCCGCAGGAGUUCUUCAUGUGCCACUAUCCACACAACUCUUUCCGAAGGAGAGCAGCUUGUGUUGCUAGGCGAUUUGCCUGCCGAAGGAACUGGGUCACAUGAUGCUUUUGUUGACAAGACUGUCCAGUAAACAACAUAAUUGAUCCAUUUUAUUGUGAAAAAGUUUGAACUAAGGCGAAACUUAGAUGUUUAAGUACAUUGUAAAAAUAUAAAACAUUGCUAGGAGUUGCAAAUCCUGAAUGAGAAUGAGGUACCCUCCGUAGGACGUGGGGCGCCCUACAUCGAAAUCUGGAGCGUAAUUUACUUCAUGCCAUUCUAACAUUGUAGGACAGCUUCAGGGGUGUUUAACCCUGAAAAGAACAGGUGCUCAGGGUCUACGUUACGAGUGACUCUGCUCAUGAAUGAAGGCUGAGCAGUCUGUGCUUUUUACUUUAACCCAUUCUUAUCUCUUUUCAUAUCUUUAGAACCACUUUACUGACAUGGAAAUAUUAAUAAUAUUAACUUAAAUAUGUAUUUUGCAAAAUAUGGUAAAAAUAAAUACAUUUAAAUUAUUGUAAGUGAGGAUCAGUUAUUUGUGAUUUGUGCCAUGUACUUCAGUGCCACAGCAAAGUUCUAAAACAUCUUCAGAGAAUUACUCCUGGGAGAAUUCCUCAAGAUUGUGUUUUUCUGUUUUUCAAAGCAUUUGCAGGGCUUUACUAAGCUCACUGUGCAAGUGAUCACUAGGAUCAUUUGUUACAGAUGAAAAUUCAAUUCUUAUUUUAGAAGAUAAUUGGAAAACAAAUUGAAAUGCACAUAAUUUAGUUAGAGGAAUUAAAAAAAUAGUUUUGUUUACUCAGUAAUUUUUUAUUAAUAAACUAUUAAAAUAGUUUAUAUUAGUUUAUUUAGAGAAUUCAGACAGAAAGCAUAGCAGAUUUUGCACAGGGGAAAAGUUACACAAUAAACCAUCACAUUUACAACAACCUGCUCCACACUGCAUUAUUUUUUUCCAAUGUAGGCGGCAGUGUUUGUUGAUCUCAAGAUAAUGUUAAUAUUGCCAAAACAACAUGAAACAAAUACAAAUGCAGAAAAGACUUUGCUGGUUUGGAAUAGAAACUAUUGUUAAAUUCUAGGCUUUUUCAUAAUGUAUUAUUAAAUCACAGGCUUUUUAACUCAUCAUUUAAAGACACCCCAAGCCUUUCAAAAUAGACAUGUUUCAUCUUUCCUGUUGUUAUUCUUAAUAAUAUAAAAAAUGUGCCUCUUUUUUCACUGUGUGGAGGCACUAAUUUUCUCUUUGUGUAGCAUCAGCUCAGCAAGCAGAUGCCUUUAUUUCCCAUCAUUUCCAAGAUUUUCAUUUUUCUUAUCCUUUGAUUUAAUUUUUUUUCUACAUAUUUCACCACUCAUUUAAGAUGGUUUAAUAUGGAGCUCUGGAAAGGUCAAGCAUUUUUAAAGUAACUGUGCUGAUUUAUCUUCAUUUAUUUAUGCAUUUAGUUCUUGUUUGCUGCACAGAUAGCUUUCAAAGGCAUAAUUAUUAUACCACUAAUGUAUUCAUGCCUGGGCCUUUGUUGCGUUGUCCUUUGAGUGGGACAGCAAAUAGUACAGCCAUCUGUAAAGGGCAGUGGCGAGUAAUUAUAGUCUCACUGUUCGGCGCUUGACAAUGGGCCCUUGGAUAGCUCUGUCUGGGGCUGCUUUUCCAGGAGCGAAACUCCUGUGAAGUCCAUGCAGAUGAAUAAAAUAUACAUAAUGGGAAGUUGGCAGUGUGCACCUGAACUGGAAUCUGUUGCUCAUCAAUAUUGAAUGAUUGUAUACCCUUGUUCCCUUUACUGCUAAUUUUUUCAUAAUUCCUGGGAAAUCGCUGGAAUCAAACAAAAGCUCUUUUUCCAGUCUGGGCAGCUGUGAGUUUGGGCCUGGGUUGUCAAGGCUUCAGUUCAACAGGAUAGUUCAGCCAAGGGCCUGUGACGUUCCAGGAGUGACAGGGGUUACUGUGCGCCUGGGAGAGCCCUGACUUGACCCGUAUACUGACUUGACCCGUCCACUCUCGGCGACGCUCAGCCAACACAAUCACAGAGCUCAGCCCACCUUCAGUGGUUGUGCA